This 88-nucleotide transfer RNA is filed under the name Lactobacillus selangorensis. RNAcentral's name for it is "Paralactobacillus selangorensis tRNA". It matches the Rfam family "tRNA". From Rfam's summary of the family: Transfer RNA (tRNA) molecules are approximately 80 nucleotides in length. Their secondary structure includes four short double-helical elements and three loops (D, anti-codon, and T loops). Further hydrogen bonds mediate the characteristic L-shaped molecular structure. tRNAs have two regions of fundamental functional importance: the anti-codon, which is responsible for specific mRNA codon recognition, and the 3' end, to which the tRNAs corresponding amino acid is attached (by aminoacyl-tRNA synthetases). tRNAs cope with the degeneracy of the genetic code in two manners: having more than one tRNA (with a specific anti-codon) for a particular amino acid; and 'wobble' base-pairing, i.e. permitting non-standard base-pairing at the 3rd anti-codon position. The record is from Rfam by way of RNAcentral. Lineage: Bacteria; Bacillati; Bacillota; Bacilli; Lactobacillales; Lactobacillaceae.
GGAGACUUACUCAAGUGGCUGAAGAGGCGCCCCUGCUAAGGGUGUAGACGGGCUAUACCGUGCGAGAGUUCGAAUCUCUCAGUCUCCG